UCAGCUGGCCGGGCGGCCGCUCCGAGUUCGCUCGGGGAGGAAAGUCCGGGCUCCAUGGAAUCACGGUGCCGGAUAACGUCCGGCGGGGGAAACCCUAGGGACAGUGCCACAGAAAGCAGACCGCCCCGCCAAGCCUUCGGGCCCCGGGGUAAGGGUGAAAGGGUGCGGUAAGAGCGCACCGCGGACGCAGUAAUGCGGACGGCACGGUAAACCCCACCAGGAGCAAAACCGAAUAGGGACGACAGGCGUUCGCGCCAGGCCCGUUUCCAGGCCCGUCGUCCGGGUUGGUUGCUUGAGGCGGUCAGCAAUGGCCGUCCCAGAGGAAUGGUCGCCACGUCCGAGGUUCGCCUCGGGCCCUACAGAACCCGGCUUACAGGCCAGCUGACACC
This 389-nucleotide RNase P RNA is filed under the name Microvirga subterranea. Its description in RNAcentral is "Bacterial RNase P class A". It matches the Rfam family "Bacterial RNase P class A". Rfam says of the family: Ribonuclease P (RNase P) is a ubiquitous endoribonuclease, found in archaea, bacteria and eukarya as well as chloroplasts and mitochondria. Its best characterised activity is the generation of mature 5'-ends of tRNAs by cleaving the 5'-leader elements of precursor-tRNAs. Lineage: Bacteria; Pseudomonadati; Pseudomonadota; Alphaproteobacteria; Hyphomicrobiales; Methylobacteriaceae. The record is from Rfam by way of RNAcentral.